Molecule: long non-coding RNA, 717 nt
Organism: Phragmites australis (common reed)
Lineage: Eukaryota; Viridiplantae; Streptophyta; Magnoliopsida; Poales; Poaceae
Exons: 2
Source: RefSeq, a predicted model, not a curated record
ACCGCUGCUCUCCUCCUCGGCCAUGCCCCUGGGCUCGAGCCCGCCCGAGCUGCGCUGCCCCUAAGCCAAGCCUCACCCUCUGAUCCUCAACGGAUUGAGGCGAGUUCGGUUGGACUAUAUCUCUAUCUCUUCCCCGAUUUCAAAUCAGUUUGGGGAUUGCUUCAGAUAAGCUCGGCCACCGCGAUUUCUGCAAGUUUGGGCCGGCUACAUGCUCUUAUCUCCUCCUGUGGGAACCCCGGGCCACCUCUAUAAAAGGCAGGGAGGGGGUGCCCGGGAAGGGGGAUCAAUCUUUGGAGCUCUGCUGCGCCGAAGCUGUGCCGCUAGGUGUGUUUGCUGAGCAGCUGUGCCUUCCCCUCCCCGCUAGCAAGCUUCGCCAUCGGCAAGGAGAAAUCGAUAGAAGCCUCUGCCGCUUCUACUGCACCCACGCCCCCUAGGACGCGCCUCCGAUCCGUCGCCAUCAUCACCAUGUCUGCGCCCCGAGCCUUGCAGACUCGGAGACGACCUCGGUAUGACGACCGCCAGCGCACUUAAUCGGAGGUAGCCCGAAGACGGGCGUAAUUAACCGGAGAGCCCCACGAGGCCACGGGAACCAAGACAAAGCAAUCGCCAAAUCAUGAAGAUAGUCAGAUAGCGUGUGCGUUUGAGGAGUAAAACAAGUGUAAUCGAAAAAUGUACUUUAUGAAUUCAAUAUGAAUGAAUAAAGUUACAAUUCCAUUA